Astatotilapia calliptera (eastern happy) is the source of this 1199-nucleotide long non-coding RNA. The record is from Ensembl. Lineage: Eukaryota; Metazoa; Chordata; Actinopteri; Cichliformes; Cichlidae.
CUUUUAUCUAAAAUCUUUUACACUCUAAAUUACUUUUAAUAAUGUGUGGAAACCAUGUGUUUUUAUGGGCUGUCUGACAAGGUUUCUGCAAACUUAUUUUUGGUGUGAAAUUAUUUGAGAUGAGCUCAUUAAAACUGUACAUAAAUGCAGAAAUUGUGAUUUUUAAGAACUGAAAAAGGGCAUCAAAACCAGAUCAGUUUAAGUUUUACCUAAAAAAUUAAAUGAAUAACAGAGAAGUCUGUACAUCUCUCAGAAUUACUCUGCAAUAAUACCAGAAGUACAAGAUAGUGGGUUUAAAUAUUUUCCUUGUGCUUAAACAUAACAUAGCCAUGAUCUUUAAAAGGUCCUCCUAGAACUCAUUCCCCAUAGAGAAUAACCUUUCUCACAGUGUGAUUUAAGGUGGUUUCUCCCACUGCAAGCAGGUUGCAAAGGUUUUCCAGAGGAAUUUGUCUCAGCCUGAUCUUUUCCAGGAUGCAGUCUGGUUUCUGAGAGUGCUCUCUGCUGUAUUGUCAGAGGUAUGCACCAGGACUGUUUAUCUGAAUUAAACAAAUGGGUCUAUGAGAAAAAAUUCUGUAUUUUCAUAUGACUUGCAAGCAAAAUUGUACCUAGAUUUUUGUUUUUAUAAUUAAAAUUAAAGUGGAGAACCAAGUGUGCAUACGCCCAAACCUCUUGUUCCAUCAGUCCCAGGUUGUCAGUGGUUGGUGGAGCGUAAUAUUGACGUACCAGACAAAAUAAUCUCACUCUUACUACACCUGCUGCACUCAGUCUCAGUUAGUUAGAUCAUAUUUUAAGCCCUGCAGCCUCAUUCAUACACCCUCAAGCGUGACGCACUUCCAAUUGACGUCAGUUCGAUCCAAAUUAAACCUCUCUCCACAUACCCACGCAUUUUUAUGGGGUUUUUUUUUGUGAUUUAUUGUGAUGUAAGCACAGAGUUCAAAGCUGUUUCUUCUGUUCUGCUAUUCCUAUAAGUAAUUUUGAAAUUUUACACAACAUUUAGAAAGCAUAAUCUAUCAUUAUGUUUUGUACUUGUAUUUAAUUUGCUUUAUGUCACGAAGCAGAAGUAUUCAAGCCUUUAACACUUAAGAGUUGUGACUUUCUGUAUUUGUAUUAUCUCAAUAACAAUGAGCCACCACUGCAUUGUGUGAUAACUUCUUUCAUUAUAACCAGUUUGUAAUUUACUUUAAUGUACUUGACUACAA